GCGCUCGUAGCUCAGUAGGAUAGAGCAGUAGUUUCCUAAACUGCGUGUCGCAGGUUCGAUUCCUGUCGGGCGUACCA
Molecule: transfer RNA, 77 nt
Filed under: Clostridium botulinum
Lineage: Bacteria; Bacillati; Bacillota; Clostridia; Eubacteriales; Clostridiaceae
Also listed under: 1 other name
Description: tRNA-Arg
Rfam family: tRNA
About the family: Transfer RNA (tRNA) molecules are approximately 80 nucleotides in length. Their secondary structure includes four short double-helical elements and three loops (D, anti-codon, and T loops).
Source: RNAcentral